GCAUAUACUUUUGAAAAUUUCCUAAUUCAAAAAAAAAAAAACAAAGAAAAAAGGAAACAUGUUGAUUAUAUCAAAAUUAGGAGGCACAAAAAAUUAUAGUCCGUUAGAACUAAUAAAGCAAAUAAUUGACCCAUCAUAUCAUCCAAAGAAACGGAAAAUAAAUAAAUAAAUAAAUAAAUAAAUAAAUAUAUCUUCUAUUUUCAUUUUUUUUGAUUUUCUUCUUUCUCGAACGGAUUUUUUUCGGACUUGA
RNAcentral lists this long non-coding RNA (250 nucleotides) under Elaeis guineensis (African oil palm). RNAcentral describes it as "long non-coding RNA (EGUI_LNC008110)". Lineage: Eukaryota; Viridiplantae; Streptophyta; Magnoliopsida; Arecales; Arecaceae. The record is from RNAcentral.